This 539-nucleotide long non-coding RNA is filed under the name Setaria viridis. RNAcentral's name for it is "long non-coding RNA (SVIR_LNC010379)". Lineage: Eukaryota; Viridiplantae; Streptophyta; Magnoliopsida; Poales; Poaceae. The record is from RNAcentral.
GUGGUACUACUCCACCAACACCUAGACAUGCAAGCUUUUUGGCUCUAGGGUUUUGUUUUUGCUAAAAGAGACUAAUGUAGGUCCUUACUUUCAACAUUUUAGCCACAAGUUCUAUUGUUGUUUUACCAAUCUAAGUUAGCAACUAUACUAAAUCAAGCAUAGUUUCCAAGGAAUUAAUAUAGGUAACAAAAUUUGAUUAUCAUCAUGUUUCAUUCUUACUUAGUGUAGCAUAGCGAUCAAGUAGUCCCAAACUGUAAGAGGCAGAUGAAUCAAUUCGAAUUUCUUAACCAUGCAUGGUGAACCUAACCUCACGACAUCUGCGCACCGCGAAGGGUCGCUUCAUUUGUCAGCCGUCCCCAUCAAUUCCCAGACCCGUGUCGGGCCCACUUCCCCUGGUACAAGGCUCCAUAGACCUGGCCUCUACCGUUCUAUGACCACACUUGUCACCACAUGCGACCGCAAGGGAACUCUGUUCAAGAGACAGUGGAACGAUCCGCUCACAUCCCGGUUCAAUUAGGUAUUAGGCUUCCCCAUCCCAG